Molecule: ribosomal RNA, 602 nt
Filed under: Cicindela (Rivacindela) sp. JP-140
Lineage: Eukaryota; Metazoa; Arthropoda; Insecta; Coleoptera; Carabidae
Description: partial 16S ribosomal RNA
Rfam family: Bacterial large subunit ribosomal RNA
Source: RNAcentral
UUUAAGGUCUAACCUGCCCAAUGAGGAUUUAAAUGGCCGCAGUAUUUUGACUGUGCAAAGGUAGCAUAAUUAUUAGUUUUUUAAUUGAAAGCUUGUAUGAAGGGUUGGACGAGAUAAAAUCUGUCUUUAUUUAAAUUAAAGUAUAAUUUAACUUUUAAGUCAAAAGGCUUAAAUGUAUAUAAAAGACGAGAAGACCCUAUAGAUCUUUAUUUAGUUAAGAUUUUAAUAAUUUAGGAUUAUUUUAAUUUGGAGUCUUAAUUGAAUUUUAUUGGGGUAAUAUAAAGAUUAAGUGAAUUCUUUUUAUUUAUGACAUUAAUUUAUGAAUAUAUGAUCCAUUAAUAUUGAUUAUAAGAUUAAGUUACCUUAGGGAUAACAGCGUAAUUUUUUUGGAGAGCUCAUAUCGAUAAGAAAGUUUGCGACCUCGAUGUUGGAUUAAAAAUUAGCUUGGGUGCAGAAGCUCAAGAUUUUGGUCUGUUCGACCAUUAAAUUUUUACAUGAUCUGAGUUCAGACCGGCGUAAGCCAGGUCGGUUUCUAUCUUUAUUCAGAUAAAAUAUUUUAGUACGAAAGGACCAAGUAUUUAAUAUAAUUAUAUUUAUUUUUU